CAUGUACUCCCUCCGUUCGGAAUUACUUGUCAUAAAAAUGGAUGUAUCUACAACUAAAAUACAUUUAGAUACAUUCAUUUCUUUGACGAGUAAUUCAAAACGGAGGGAGUACGAU
Triticum aestivum (bread wheat) is the source of this 115-nucleotide non-coding RNA. NCBI's taxonomy places the organism in Eukaryota, Viridiplantae, Streptophyta, Magnoliopsida, Poales, Poaceae. The record is from Rfam.